RNAcentral lists this ribosomal RNA (253 nucleotides) under uncultured bacterium. RNAcentral describes it as "partial 16S ribosomal RNA". It matches the Rfam family "Bacterial small subunit ribosomal RNA", at positions 524 to 776 of the family's 1533-position model. The record is from RNAcentral.
UACGGGGGGAGCAAGCGUUGUUCGGAUUUACUGGGCGUAAAGGGUGCGUAGGUGGCGCCGUAAGUCGGGUGUGAAAUUUCGGAGCUUAACUCCGAAACCGCAUUCGAUACUGCGGUGCUUGAGGACUGGAGAGGAGACUGGAAUUCAUGGUGUAGCAGUGAAAUGCGUAGAGAUCAUGAGGAAGACCAGUGGCGAAGGCGGGUCUCUGGACAGUUCCUGACACUGAGGCACGAAGGCCAGGGGAGCAAACGGG